This 22-nucleotide non-coding RNA is filed under the name Arabidopsis thaliana (thale cress). Lineage: Eukaryota; Viridiplantae; Streptophyta; Magnoliopsida; Brassicales; Brassicaceae. The record is from RNAcentral.
UUAACAGAUGUGCCGCCCCAGC